AAGCUCGUAGUUGAAUUUCGGGGUCUACCCAUUGGUCAGGCUUAAUUGUCUGUACUGGUGAGAUGGAUCUCUACCCUCUGAGGAACUUUCAUGCCAUUUAUUUGGUGUGAUGGGAAAUCAGGACUGUUACUUUGAAAAAAUUAGAGUGUUUAAAGCAGACUAUCGUCUGAAUACAUUAGCAUGGAAUAAUGAAAUAGGACGGACUGAUUCUAUUUCGUUGGUUUCUAGGAUCACCGUAAUGAUUAAUAGGGAUAGUUGGG
This 260-nucleotide ribosomal RNA is filed under the name uncultured Glomeromycotina. Its description in RNAcentral is "partial 18S ribosomal RNA". It matches the Rfam family "Eukaryotic small subunit ribosomal RNA", at positions 624 to 886 of the family's 1831-position model. Lineage: Eukaryota; Fungi; Glomeromycota. The record is from RNAcentral.